AACGCGAAGAACCUUACCUACUCUUGACAUCCAGAGAAGCCAGCAGAGAUGCAGGUGUGCCUUCGGGAACUCUGAGACAGGUGCUGCAUGGCUGUCGUCAGCUCGUGUUGUGAAAUGUUGGGUUAAGUCCCGCAACGAGCGCAACCCUUAUCCUUGUUUGCCAGCACGUAAUGGUGGGAACUCCAGGGAGACUGCCGGUGAUAAACCGGAGGAAGGUGGGGACGACGUCAAGUCAUCAUGGCCCUUACGAGUAGGGCUACACACGUGCUACAAUGGUGCAUACAGAGGGAAGCAAGAGCGCGAGCUGGAGCGGAUCUCAAAAAGUGCAUCGUAGUCCGGAUUGGAGUCUGCAACUCGACUCCAUGAAGUCGGAAUCGCUAGUAAUCGUGGAUCAGAAUGCCACGGUGGGUCUUGUACACACCG
RNAcentral lists this ribosomal RNA (423 nucleotides) under uncultured bacterium. Its description in RNAcentral is "bacterial SSU rRNA". It matches the Rfam family "Bacterial small subunit ribosomal RNA", at positions 958 to 1392 of the family's 1533-position model. The record is from RNAcentral.